Molecule: ribosomal RNA, 253 nt
Filed under: uncultured bacterium
Lineage: Bacteria
Description: partial 16S ribosomal RNA
Rfam family: Bacterial small subunit ribosomal RNA
Source: RNAcentral
UACGAAGGGGGCUAGCGUUGCUCGGAAUCACUGGGCGUAAAGGGUGCGUAGGCGGGUUUUUAAGUCAGGGGGGAAAUCCUGGAGCUCAACUCCAGAACUGCCUUUGAUACUGAGAAUCUUGAGUAUGGGAGAGGUGAGUGGAACUGCGAGUGUAGAGGUGAAAUUCGUAGAUAUUCGCAAGAACACCAGUGGCGAAGGCGGCUCACUGGCCCAUAACUGACGCUGAGGCACGAAAGCGUGGGGAGCAAACAGG